This 253-nucleotide ribosomal RNA is filed under the name uncultured bacterium. RNAcentral describes it as "partial 16S ribosomal RNA". It matches the Rfam family "Bacterial small subunit ribosomal RNA", at positions 524 to 776 of the family's 1533-position model. The record is from RNAcentral.
UACGUAGGGGGCAAGCGUUGUCCGGAAUCAUUGGGCGUAAAGAGCGUGUAGGCGGCCCGGUAAGUCCGCUGUGAAAGUCGAGGGCUCAACCCUCGAAUGCCGGCGGAUACUGUCGGGCUAGAGUCCGGAAGAGGCGAGUGGAAUUCCUGGUGUAGCGGUGAAAUGCGCAGAUAUCAGGAGGAACACCUACGGCGAAGGCAGCUCGCUGGGACGGUACUGACGCUGAGACGCGAAAGCGUGGGGAGCGAACAGG